GCUACCACCUUCUCAAUAAACGCAAAAGAUUAAAAAGAAAAAAAAACAUAAAAACUAAAUCAAUAAUAAAGCGGGAAGGUCUCUCAGGUCAAGGUGAUGGCGUCGAAACGGAUCCUGAAGGAGCUGAAGGACCUCCAGAAAGAUUCUCCUACUUCAUGCAGCACUGGUAUUUUCCAUUUCCAAACCCGAUCCGUUUCCUCUUCUUUU
Molecule: non-coding RNA, 207 nt
Organism: Prunus avium (sweet cherry)
Lineage: Eukaryota; Viridiplantae; Streptophyta; Magnoliopsida; Rosales; Rosaceae
Source: RefSeq, a predicted model, not a curated record